AGAGAUGGAGGCACCUAACCCUGAUCGGCCUAAAGUGGACUUAGAUGGGAUACUGCUUGCAGAGAGCACUGCUUGAGGGUCCCGGGCGCUGACGUGUAUGUAUAGAUAUGGGGUGCCAAUUGACCCAUAUUACUAUGAGUCAGGCGACCUUGCUGAAGGGCGUCAUCAAGAUCUCCCCAGUUUACAUUCUACCCGCUCGAUCCACUGACUGAGACCUCACACUCGGUCAUUUUCUCUAUGUUCUUAACAACAAUUUAUUUCUACGACUGUUGGGUUGUAUUGAUCUAACUAUCCUCUGUCAUUGUUCUUUCUCCUUGCCUCAUUCACUGUUCUUUCUCCUUGCUCUUAGAAACUCAAAAAUUCUGCACAACCCUAACCCAAACAGGAAAAAAAAUGAAAAAAAAUCACAC
RNAcentral lists this long non-coding RNA (410 nucleotides) under Prunus persica (peach). Its description in RNAcentral is "long non-coding RNA (PPER_LNC001142)". Lineage: Eukaryota; Viridiplantae; Streptophyta; Magnoliopsida; Rosales; Rosaceae. The record is from RNAcentral.